Molecule: transfer RNA, 83 nt
Filed under: Puniceicoccales bacterium
Lineage: Bacteria; Pseudomonadati; Verrucomicrobiota; Opitutia; Puniceicoccales
Description: tRNA-Leu
Rfam family: tRNA
About the family: Transfer RNA (tRNA) molecules are approximately 80 nucleotides in length.
Source: RNAcentral
GCCCGGAUGGCGGAAUCGGCAGACGCGUCGGACUCAAAAUCCGAUUCCCUUUGGGAGUGAGGGUUCGACCCCCUCUCCGGGCA